AUUUAAAUAGUUUAUUAAAAUAAUAGUUUGUGGAGCUAUAGAUGUAAGAAGUUACUUUAAAUA
Molecule: transfer RNA, 63 nt
Filed under: Sphaeridium lunatum
Lineage: Eukaryota; Metazoa; Arthropoda; Insecta; Coleoptera; Hydrophilidae
Description: tRNA-His
Rfam family: tRNA
About the family: Transfer RNA (tRNA) molecules are approximately 80 nucleotides in length.
Source: RNAcentral